Molecule: long non-coding RNA, 415 nt
Filed under: Nicotiana tabacum (common tobacco)
Lineage: Eukaryota; Viridiplantae; Streptophyta; Magnoliopsida; Solanales; Solanaceae
Description: long non-coding RNA (NTAB_LNC000693)
Source: RNAcentral
GUGGCGGGCAUCACCACAACCCUACCCCAUCGCCUCCUUCAGGAGGCCAUGGAGGUGGUGGUUACUAUCCCUCCCCUCCAUCUCAUAGUGGAAGCCCUCCAAGUACUCCUACACCUACACCUAGUACCCCCAGUACACCAUCCACCCCCUCCACACCUACUAUUGUCACCCCGCCUACACCUCCUACCAUUGACCCUGGCACUCCAAGCACUCCAGGGGGUGGUUACUAUGGUGGAAGUCCUCCAAGUAUUCCUACACCUAGUACCCCUAGUAUUACACCCACUACCCCUUCUACACCUAUCAUUGAAACACCACCAACUACUCCUGUCGUUGAAACACCACCAACUACUCCUACUAUUGAUCCAGGCACUCCAAGUGCUCCAGGAGUCUUUCCAAUUGACCCCAACUCACCACC